This 377-nucleotide ribosomal RNA is filed under the name uncultured bacterium. Its description in RNAcentral is "bacterial SSU rRNA". It matches the Rfam family "Bacterial small subunit ribosomal RNA", at positions 523 to 898 of the family's 1533-position model. The record is from RNAcentral.
AAACGUAGGAGGCGAGCGUUAUCCGGAUUUACUGGGUGUAAAGCGCGUGCAGGCGGUUGGAUAAGUUGGGUGUGAAAGCUCCUGGCUCAACUGGGAGAGGUUGCUCAAGACUGUUCGACUAGAGCGUGGUAGGGGAAGGCGGAAUUCCGGGUGUAGUGGUGAAAUGCGUAGAUAUCCGGAGGAACACCAGUGGCGAAAGCGGCCUUCUAGACCAUGACUGACGCUCAGACGCGAAAGCUAGGGGAGCAAACGGGAUUAGAGACCCCGGUAGUCCUAGCCGUAAACGAUGUGAACUUGGCGGCGGGUGGGUAAAACUACUCGGUGCCGAAGCAAACGCGAUAAGUUCACCACCUGGGGACUACGGCCGCAAGGUUAAA